Molecule: ribosomal RNA, 2804 nt
Filed under: Escherichia coli LAU-EC9
Lineage: Bacteria; Pseudomonadati; Pseudomonadota; Gammaproteobacteria; Enterobacterales; Enterobacteriaceae
Description: bacterial LSU rRNA
Rfam family: Bacterial large subunit ribosomal RNA
Source: RNAcentral
GGGUUGUGAGGUUAAGCGACUAAGCGUACACGGUGGAUGCCCUGGCAGUCAGAGGCGAUGAAGGACGUGCUAAUCUGCGAUAAGCGUCGGUGAGGUGAUAUGAACCGUUAUAACCGGCGAUUUCCGAAUGGGGAAACCCAGUGUGUUUCGACACACUAUCAUUAACUGAAUCCAUAGGUUAAUGAGGCGAACCGGGGGAACUGAAACAUCUAAGUACCCCGAGGAAAAGAAAUCAACCGAGAUUCCCCCAGUAGCGGCGAGCGAACGGGGAGCAGCCCAGAGCCUGAAUCAGUGUGUGUGUUAGUGGAAGCGUCUGGAAAGGCGCGCGAUACAGGGUGACAGCCCCGUACACAAAAAUGCACAUACUGUGAGCUCGAUGAGUAGGGCGGGACACGUGGUAUCCUGUCUGAAUAUGGGGGGACCAUCCUCCAAGGCUAAAUACUCCUGACUGACCGAUAGUGAACCAGUACCGUGAGGGAAAGGCGAAAAGAACCCCGGCGAGGGGAGUGAAAAAGAACCUGAAACCGUGUACGUACAAGCAGUGGGAGCCUCUUAAUGGGGUGACUGCGUACCUUUUGUAUAAUGGGUCAGCGACUUAUAUUCUGUAGCAAGGUUAACCGAAUAGGGGAGCCGAAGGGAAACCGAGUCUUAACUGGGCGUUAAGUUGCAGGGUAUAGACCCGAAACCCGGUGAUCUAGCCAUGGGCAGGUUGAAGGUUGGGUAACACUAACUGGAGGACCGAACCGACUAAUGUUGAAAAAUUAGCGGAUGACUUGUGGCUGGGGGUGAAAGGCCAAUCAAACCGGGAGAUAGCUGGUUCUCCCCGAAAGCUAUUUAGGUAGCGCCUCGUGAAUUCAUCUCCGGGGGUAGAGCACUGUUUCGGCAAGGGGGUCAUCCCGACUUACCAACCCGAUGCAAACUGCGAAUACCGGAGAAUGUUAUCACGGGAGACACACGGCGGGUGCUAACGUCCGUCGUGAAGAGGGAAACAACCCAGACCGCCAGCUAAGGUCCCAAAGUCAUGGUUAAGUGGGAAACGAUGUGGGAAGGCCCAGACAGCCAGGAUGUUGGCUUAGAAGCAGCCAUCAUUUAAAGAAAGCGUAAUAGCUCACUGGUCGAGUCGGCCUGCGCGGAAGAUGUAACGGGGCUAAACCAUGCACCGAAGCUGCGGCAGCGACACUAUGUGUUGUUGGGUAGGGGAGCGUUCUGUAAGCCUGUGAAGGUGUACUGUGAGGUAUGCUGGAGGUAUCAGAAGUGCGAAUGCUGACAUAAGUAACGAUAAAGCGGGUGAAAAGCCCGCUCGCCGGAAGACCAAGGGUUCCUGUCCAACGUUAAUCGGGGCAGGGUGAGUCGACCCCUAAGGCGAGGCCGAAAGGCGUAGUCGAUGGGAAACAGGUUAAUAUUCCUGUACUUGGUGUUACUGCGAAGGGGGGACGGAGAAGGCUAUGUUGGCCGGGCGACGGUUGUCCCGGUUUAAGCGUGUAGGCUGGUUUUCCAGGCAAAUCCGGAAAAUCAAGGCUGAGGCGUGAUGACGAGGCACUACGGUGCUGAAGCAACAAAUGCCCUGCUUCCAGGAAAAGCCUCUAAGCAUCAGGUAACAUCAAAUCGUACCCCAAACCGACACAGGUGGUCAGGUAGAGAAUACCAAGGCGCUUGAGAGAACUCGGGUGAAGGAACUAGGCAAAAUGGUGCCGUAACUUCGGGAGAAGGCACGCUGAUAUGUAGGUGAAGUCCCUUGCGGAUGGAGCUGAAAUCAGUCGAAGAUACCAGCUGGCUGCAACUGUUUAUUAAAAACACAGCACUGUGCAAACACGAAAGUGGACGUAUACGGUGUGACGCCUGCCCGGUGCCGGAAGGUUAAUUGAUGGGGUUAGCGGUAACGCGAAGCUCUUGAUCGAAGCCCCGGUAAACGGCGGCCGUAACUAUAACGGUCCUAAGGUAGCGAAAUUCCUUGUCGGGUAAGUUCCGACCUGCACGAAUGGCGUAAUGAUGGCCAGGCUGUCUCCACCCGAGACUCAGUGAAAUUGAACUCGCUGUGAAGAUGCAGUGUACCCGCGGCAAGACGGAAAGACCCCGUGAACCUUUACUAUAGCUUGACACUGAACAUUGAGCCUUGAUGUGUAGGAUAGGUGGGAGGCUUUGAAGUGUGGACGCCAGUCUGCAUGGAGCCGGCCUUGAAAUACCACCCUUUAAUGUUUGAUGUUCUAACGUUGGCCCCUGAUCGGGGUUGCGGACAGUGUCUGGUGGGUAGUUUGACUGGGGCGGUCUCCUCCUAAAGAGUAACGGAGGAGCACGAAGGUUGGCUAAUCCUGGUCGGACAUCAGGAGGUUAGUGCAAUGGCAUAAGCCAGCUUGACUGCGAGCGUGACGGCGCGAGCAGGUGCGAAAGCAGGUCAUAGUGAUCCGGUGGUUCUGAAUGGAAGGGCCAUCGCUCAACGGAUAAAAGGUACUCCGGGGAUAACAGGCUGAUACCGCCCAAGAGUUCAUAUCGACGGCGGUGUUUGGCACCUCGAUGUCGGCUCAUCACAUCCUGGGGCUGAAGUAGGUCCCAAGGGUAUGGCUGUUCGCCAUUUAAAGUGGUACGCGAGCUGGGUUUAGAACGUCGUGAGACAGUUCGGUCCCUAUCUGCCGUGGGCGCUGGAGAACUGAGGGGGGCUGCUCCUAGUACGAGAGGACCGGAGUGGACGCAUCACUGGUGUUCGGGUUGUCAUGCCAAUGGCACUGCCCGGUAGCUAAAUGCGGAAGAGAUAAGUGCUGAAAGCAUCUAAGCACGAAACUUGCCCCGAGAUGAGUUCUCCCUGACUC